AUUUUUUAUUUUUAUUUUUUAAAAGAAGAUUUGAACUUUUAUUAACAAAUUUCAAGAUUCAGCCAUGCAAGCUAUCAAAGCUUCUUCCUUUUCACCAUUUCACCUCAACUUGAACUCAACUAGUUCAUUUCCCAAAACUACCAACUUGUAUAUUCAACAAAAUUAUGAAAACCCCAUUUCUUGUUUUCCCUCAAUUCAGACACAAAAUGCAAAAUUCAAGG
RNAcentral lists this unclassified non-coding RNA (221 nucleotides) under Hevea brasiliensis (rubber tree). The record is from RNAcentral. Lineage: Eukaryota; Viridiplantae; Streptophyta; Magnoliopsida; Malpighiales; Euphorbiaceae.